Molecule: ribosomal RNA, 492 nt
Filed under: uncultured bacterium
Lineage: Bacteria
Description: partial 16S ribosomal RNA
Rfam family: Bacterial small subunit ribosomal RNA
Source: RNAcentral
GAUGAACGCUAGCUACAGGCUUAACACAUGCAAGUCGAGGGGAAACGGCAUCGAAAGCUUGCUUUUGAUGGGCGUCGACCGGCGCACGGGUGAGUAACGCGUAUCCAACCUGCCCAUCACUUGGGAAUAACCUUGCGAAAGUAAGACUAAUGCCCAAUGACAUCCCACGAAGGCAUCCGAAUGGGAUUAAAGAUUUAUCGGUGAUGGAUGGGGAUGCGUCUGAUUAGCUUGUUGGCGGGGUGACGGCCCACCAAGGCAACGAUCAGUAGGGGUUCUGAGAGGAAGGGCCCCCACAGUGGAACUGAGACACGGUCCAAACUCCUACGGGAGGCAGCAGUGAGGAAGAUUGGUCAAUGGGCGAGAGCCUGAACCAGCCAAGUAGCGUGCAGGAUGACGGCCCUAUGGGUUGUAAACUGCUUUUAUAAGGGAAUAAAGUGGGUCACGUGUGACUUUUUGCAUGUACCUUAUGAAUAAGGACCGGCUAAUUCCGUG